GACGAACGCUGGCGGCGUGCUUARCACAUGCAAGUCGAACGGAAAGGCCCUGCUUGCAGGRUACUCGAGUGGCGAACGGGUGAGUAACACGUGGGUGAUCUGCCCUGCACUUCGGGAUAAGCCUGGGAAACUGGGUCUAAUACCGGAUAGGAGCCAUUUUUAGUGUGAUGGUUGGAAAGUUUUUUCGGUGUAGGAUGAGCUCGCGGCCUAUCAGCUUGUUGGUGGGGUAAUGGCCUACCAAGGCGGCGACGGGUAGCCGGCCUGAGAGGGUGGACGGCCACAUUGGGACUGAGAUACGGCCCAGACUCCUACGGGAGGCAGCAGUGGGGAAUAUUGCACAAUGGGCGCAAGCCUGAUGCAGCGACGCCGCGUGGGGGAUGACGGCCUUCGGGUUGUAAACUCCUUUCGCUAGGGACGAAGCUUUUUGUGACGGUACCUAGAUAAGAAGCACCGGCUAACUACGUGCCAGCAGCCGCGGUAAUACGUAGGGUGCGAGCGUUGUC
Molecule: ribosomal RNA, 503 nt
Filed under: uncultured bacterium
Lineage: Bacteria
Description: bacterial SSU rRNA
Rfam family: Bacterial small subunit ribosomal RNA
Source: RNAcentral